GACGAACGCUGGCGGCGGGCUUAACACAUGAAAGUCGAACGAGUGGCGGACGGGUGAGGAAUGCAUGGGAAUCUAGCUGAUGGAGGGGGAUAACUACGGGAAAAUGGAGCUAAUACCGCGUACAAUAGGAUGAGCCGAAGUGGGAUUAGGUAGUUGGUGGGGUAAAGGCGCACCAAGCCGACGAUCUCUAGCUGGUCUGAGAGGAUGACCAGCCACACUGGGACUGAGCCACGGCCCAGACUCCUACGGGAGGCAGCAGUGGGUAAUAUUGCGCAAUGGGCGCAAGCUGAUCCAGCCAUGCCGCGUGAGUGAAGAAGUCCUUCGGGUUGUAAAGUCCUUUCGUUAGCAAGGCGUUACCUACAGAAUAAGCACCGGCUAACUCCGUGCCAGCCGCCGCGGUAAUAC
This 405-nucleotide ribosomal RNA is filed under the name uncultured bacterium. RNAcentral describes it as "partial 16S ribosomal RNA". It matches the Rfam family "Bacterial small subunit ribosomal RNA", at positions 28 to 526 of the family's 1533-position model. The record is from RNAcentral.